Molecule: ribosomal RNA, 528 nt
Filed under: Nannizzia gypsea
Lineage: Eukaryota; Fungi; Ascomycota; Eurotiomycetes; Onygenales; Arthrodermataceae
Description: eukaryotic LSU rRNA
Rfam family: Eukaryotic large subunit ribosomal RNA
Source: RNAcentral
ACGGCGAGUGAAGCGGCAAAAGCUCAAAUUUGAAAUCUGGCCUCCUACGGGGGUCCGAGUUGUAAUUUGUAGAGGAUGCUUCGGGUGUGGCCGCCGUCUAAGUUCCUUGGAACAGGACGUCAGAGAGGGUGAGAAUCCCGUCUUGGGCGGCCGGUCCGCGCCCGUGUGAAGCUCCUUCGAAGAGUCGAGUUGUUUGGGAAUGCAGCUCUAAGCGGGUGGUAAAUUUCAUCUAAAGCUAAAUACUGGUCGGAGACCGAUAGCGCACAAGUAGAGUGAUCGAAAGGUUAAAAGCACCUUGAAAAGGGAGUUAAACAGCACGUGAAAUUGUUGAAAGGGAAGCGCUUGCGGCCAGACUCGGGGGCGGGGUUCAGCGGGUGCUCGUCGCCCGUGCACUCCCCGUCUCCCGGGCCAGCAUCAGUUUCGACGGCCGGUCAAAGGCCUCCGGAAUGUGUCGUCUCUCGGGACGUCUUAUAGCCGGGGGUGCAAUGCGGCCCGUCGGGACUGAGGAACGCGCUUCGGCUCGGAUGC